Molecule: long non-coding RNA, 1599 nt
Filed under: Theobroma cacao (cacao)
Lineage: Eukaryota; Viridiplantae; Streptophyta; Magnoliopsida; Malvales; Malvaceae
Description: long non-coding RNA (TCAC_LNC001967)
Source: RNAcentral
CAAAGGAAGAAAAGGGAAGAAAAGAAGAACAAAAACCUAGCUAAGAGAUUCAAGAGAAAUUCACAAAAUUUCAAAGAAUCAAGUGACAAAAGGUAAGAUUUCUUAAUUCUAGCUUGUGAUCUACCUUUCCUAUGCAUUAUUUUGCAUUUUCCAUGCUUGAGAAUCAAGUUUACAUGAGGAUACCCUUGUUGGCCGAACACUUAGAGGGAGGUUUUGGUGCUUGAUUAGGUUAGAUUUCAAUGUAUUUUAGUGUUUUUAGUUAGUUAGUGAUGUGUAGCAUGAAAAUCAAGCAAGAAAAAUUCAUGUUCUUCCAUUACCCAUCAUUGGCCAAAUUCUCCAUGUGGAAUAUUGAUGAUGAUUUUGAUUUUAUUUCAAGUGAAUUGGUUAUGAAAUGAUGAAUUACGAUGAGAAAAUCAAGUAGGAAAAAUCAUAGUAUUGAUGCACCCACCAUGGCCGAAUUUUCCAAGAGAAAAUGUGAGGAUGAUUUUUCCAUAUUUCAAGUUAUUUAACUUGUGUUUGAUUGUUUGGAGAAUUAGAAGAAAAAUGGAAUUAUUUGGAGUUAAAUUGGACAUAUUGGCCAAUUAAUCGAGUAAUAGAUAGAAUUAGGCCAAUGCCAUUUUAUUUAGGUACAUAAUUGAAUUUAUAUUGAACACCGUAUUUAGAUAGUUACCCGAGUAUUUCACAUCCCAUUUCAUGCAUUAGUAUAAAGCCUGAAUUGGUUUUAUAACAAUUUAGCACAAAUGUAGUAAAUGGCUUAUUGUGCAUUAUGUCUAGGUAGUGAGCAUUCUGGCAAAAGUAAAGAGAUAGUACCCGAGGAUCAAGAAUCGGAGUACUCGAAAUUCGACUCUUGAAAUAGUGAGUAACCUUACUAUCAUUUUAAUUAUCUAAAGUGGUUUUUAUCCGAUUUUGUUAUUUUAUGGAAAAUGAGUUAAAUGGUAAAUCUUUGUGUUUGUAAUUAAAAUGUGAUUUAAUGAAAUGAUUUAUAACAUUGUCUUGAAAUUGAAUGAUGGUUUGAAAAUAGAGUAAUUGCAGACUGUUUUCAUGUGUUGUAAAUUCAUGGUUUGAAUCGAAUGGCUUAUGACAAUAAUUGCAUGAAUGAUUGAAUUGGUAUUUGUGUUGAAAUAUAUGAACUGUGUAUUUAGCCUUGAGAGGCUGGAUUGUGAUAUAAUUGCCAUGUCAUGCUAUCGCAAAUUUUAUUGUAUGGUGGGUUUAGCUUGCUGCAGUGGGUGGGUUUUGUGGACUAGCCUUUUUGAGGGGCACAAAAUCCUGUUAUAUUCUUACCUCGAUUGGGGAGGCGUGUAGGGUAACUCCCGAGGUACAACUUUAGAGUUCACUUCGUGUCAAACCACCACAUGAGGGUGAACUCAGCCAAUGCUAAGGAACGACUAUGUUUUCAAAAUAAAAACAUGAUUUAUGCGUACAUGACUUUUUAACAGCCUUGGCGAACUUGGUUGGGACAGCCCCAGGCCAAGGUAUCCCUAACAAUCGAGUAUGAGAAUGAUUUUGGCACGAGCCAAAGUUUUAAGAAAUUCAUAAGCCAUGUUGAUUACUGGAUUUAUAUGAAUUGAUUUUAUUUGGCUGAAAUGAGUUGAAAGGUGA